RNAcentral lists this ribosomal RNA (245 nucleotides) under uncultured bacterium. RNAcentral describes it as "partial 16S ribosomal RNA". It matches the Rfam family "Bacterial small subunit ribosomal RNA", at positions 111 to 354 of the family's 1533-position model. The record is from RNAcentral.
UAACACGUGAGCAACCUGCCUUUCANAGGGGGAUAACAGUUGGAAACGACUGCUAAUACCGCAUAACGCUGCGAUGGGGCAUCCCGAUGCAGCCAAAGGAGCAAUCCGCUGGAAGAUGGGCUCGCGGCCGAUUAGCUAGUUGGUGGGGCAACGGCCCACCAAGGCGACGAUCGGUAGCCGGACUGAGAGGUUGAUCGGCCACAUUGGGACUGAGACACGGCCCAGACUCCUACGGAAGGCAGCAG